This 2319-nucleotide long non-coding RNA is filed under the name Brassica napus (rape). RNAcentral's name for it is "long non-coding RNA (BNAP_LNC002950)". Lineage: Eukaryota; Viridiplantae; Streptophyta; Magnoliopsida; Brassicales; Brassicaceae. The record is from RNAcentral.
AAAAAUAAAACAUGUCUCAUUGUAUUGCAAUUUUAUAUCUAAAGUUUGAUACCUUUUGAUGAUUUAUCUCUGUUUUUUUAUAGGCUGGUAUAGUUGAAAGCUUAGAUGCGUUGGUAAAGGAGCUAGUUGCGGCCAGUGAAGAUGAGAAGAAAACAAUCUUGUCUCGCAUCGAAGAGGAAGCUAGUAACCUUAAGGGCUCCACAACAAGGUAUGUACUAGUAUUAGCGUUUUAUCAUUGCAUCGAACAAGAGUUCCUUUGAGCUUUCAUGAUGAAUGUCGCUCUAUAAAUAGAUACGGGAAGCUUUACUCGAAACGUGGCGUUGCUUGUGGUGUCAGCCGUAGCAGACGAUGUGGUUGUUUUGACGGAUGAUAGCUUCGAGAAGGAGGUUGGUAAAGAUAGAGGAGCUCUUGUCGAGUUUUACGCCCCCUGGUAUGGUCAUGGACCUAUCCUUUCUAUAUAUAUUUUGAUUGAUGAAUCUGGAUGAGUAUGUGGACUUUUAAAUCGAUGACGAAGAAUAUGGUUUUAGUGAGCAAGUAGAGUUACUGAUGUGAAUUUCUCAUCUUUUUAUGAUAUAAGCUUUUGGAUCUGUUUUAUUCUAAAAUGGUGUGUGUGAUUACAUUACAGGUGUGGGCACUGCAAGAAACUUGCCCCAGAGUAUGAAAAGCUUGGUGCAAGCUUCAAGAAAGCUAAGUCAAUUUUGAUUGCAAAGGUUCGUCACUUGUCUCGUUCCUUUUUUUUUUCUUUUCGUAUGUUAAAGAAAGAUACAGAGGGUGGAUUCUUGACUUAAAACUUGUGUGUUGUGUUGCAGGUCGAUUGUGAUGAGCAUAAGAGCGUCUGCACUAAGUAUGGUGUUAGUGGUUAUCCCACCAUUCAGUGGUUUCCUAAAGGCUCUCUUGAACCCCAAAAGUAUGCUCUCUUAUUUUUUCUCUCCCAAGCUAAUCUAUUAUUGGAUUUAGUAAAAGAUGGUGAAUGAUUGUUUUCUUAUAUAACAGGUAUGAAGGUGCACGCAAUGCUGAAGCAUUGGCUGAAUACGUCAACAAGGAAGGAGGUACUCUCCUUGGUGAUAGCUUAGCUAAGCUAGCCCAAACUUACUUUUGUUUUAUGAGAAAUUUGUUUAGGCAUGGUUUAUGAGGUAGACUAAGUUGGUGAAAUGUUCAAUCUUUUGUCCCUGAUGAUUUUUUUUAAUUCUAUAUGCAAGUGUGAUAUUGCCGGAUAUACAUUGAUUGGCACCACUUCCCCCGACAUUUUUAUAUUCAUUCAUUGUUGUAAAAUUCUUGUCUUUAAAAUUCUUCAAUCAAAUUUUUGUUGUUGUGUACUUACCUAUUGUUGAACAAAUAUGCUUUCAGGUACCAACGUUAAGUUAGCUGCAGCUCCACAAAACGUUGUUGUGUUAACACCUGAUAAUUUCGAUGAGAUUGUACUGGAUCAGAACAAAGAUGUCCUCGUCGAGUUUUAUGCCCCAUGGUACUACACUAUCUCUUUCUUCACUGCCCUUGGUUUUUGUUUUCUAAUUCUGAUUUUUAAAUUUUCCAGGUGCGGCCACUGCAAGUCCCUCGCUCCUGUAAGCUCUUUUGAACUAUGUGUCUACUUUUGAAACAACAAUAGUUCACUUUCACUUUGUUAUUAAUGUUGUGAUUUCUUUAUUUUAAUUCGUCAGGUAUAUGAAAAGGUAGCCACGGUGUUUAAGCAGGAAGAAGGUGUUGUAAUCGCCAACUUGGAUGCUGAUGCACACAAAAGCCUUGGCGAGAAGUAAGUUUGAGUUAUCGAUAGUACUGUAUAAAAGUCAUAUAUAUUUCAAUAGAAGGUUGAAAACAAGUACCUUUUUUUGGUUCAUUAACUAGGUAUGGAGUAAGUGGAUUCCCAACACUAAAGUUCUUUCCAAAAGACAACAAAGCUGGUCAAGAUUAUGAGGGUGGAAGAGACUUAGAUGACUUUGUAGGCUUCAUUAAUGAGAAAGUUGGGACCAGCAGAGACAGUCAAGGGCAGCUUACUUCAAAGGUUAACCCAAAAAUAAAACAUGUCUCAUUGUAUUGCAAUUUUAUAUCUAAAGUUUGAUACCUUUUGAUGAUUUAUCUCUGUUUUUUUAUAGGCUGGUAUAGUUGAAAGCUUAGAUGCGUUGGUAAAGGAGCUAGUUGCGGCCAGUGAAGAUGAGAAGAAAACAAUCUUGUCUCGCAUCGAAGAGGAAGCUAGUAACCUUAAGGGCUCCACAACAAGGUAUGUACUAGUAUUAGCGUUUUAUCAUUGCAUCGAACAAGAGUUCCUUUGAGCUUUCAUGAUGAAUGUCGCUCUAUAAAUAGAUACGGGAAGCUUUACUCGAA